Molecule: ribosomal RNA, 274 nt
Filed under: uncultured bacterium
Lineage: Bacteria
Description: partial 16S ribosomal RNA
Rfam family: Bacterial small subunit ribosomal RNA
Source: RNAcentral
CUACGGAGGGUGCAAGCGUUAUUCGGAAUCACUGGGCGUAAAGGACGCGUAGGCGGGUUGGCAAGUCAGAUGUGAAAUCCUACAGCUUAACUGUAGAACUGCAUUUGAAACUGCUAACCUAGAGUAUGGGAGGGGGAGAUGGAAUUAGUGGUGUAGGGGUAAAAUCCGUAGAUAUAACUAGGAAUACCGAAAGCGAAGGCGAUCUCCUGGAACAUAACUGACGCUAAGGCGUGAAAGCGUGGGGAGCAAACAGGAGUAGAUACCCUAGUAGUCC